This 388-nucleotide long non-coding RNA is filed under the name Trifolium pratense (red clover). Its description in RNAcentral is "long non-coding RNA (TPRA_LNC012594)". The record is from RNAcentral. Lineage: Eukaryota; Viridiplantae; Streptophyta; Magnoliopsida; Fabales; Fabaceae.
UACUUUCUUUUUGGGCCAGCAAACCGUUUUUGUUCUUUUCUUGGGCUAACAUUGUACUACAUGCCUUAUAUUUAAGACAUGCUAAAUAAUAUAAAAUAUAAAAUCAAAUAUUAUUUGCAACUCUUCUAUUUGGCAACGGCCGAUUGUGUGAUCAAUCGCCCCAUAAUUCUUCAUAAAAUCUUCAAUUCCUGGUAGCUAAUAAUCGUGCCAUGAUGUUGAUGAGUUGUGGUGUGAUUUUUCCAGAAUUUUGCCCGUUUUGUAAUUUCUCUUCAGAUUCUUUGUGAUGUAUCAACUCUUGCUAGAAUAUCUCUAAACCAUGUAAUUAUACCUAAAAACUUAUUAAAAUACUAUAAAAUUGCUACUCAAAACAUAGAAUGACAGACUGUCA